UGUCGAAAGGUUGGCAGUGGUAGAUAACGUCAAGAGUAUUCCCUGUUCAUUUCCUGCUGCAUAAAUAUACGUAGUUCAGGUUAUUAAAAUACUAGAAGUGAAUGUCAACAGAUUAGUUUUUGUCUAGAUUUUUGUGUAAAAAUGUAAAAAUCGAGUUAAUUUGUUGUCGUGUAUGAUGGGUGCAAAAGAUUCCAAACGUAGUUGUUUGAGCUAUGAAGAUGCCGUUAAACGAAUGACAGAUGUGGAAUUCAAGAGGGUGUGCGAAGCCUUCAAGAGAUUGACUGGGGGUGGUCAGUUGUUAGGAAAGCAGUCAUUCACUCAAAAUGUUCUUGGUGACGGAGUACCGGUGUCCAUAGGAGAAUGGCUGUACACUGCGUGCGGUGGAACCCCCCGAGGGAUCGCUCUCAGAGAUCUCAUCUGCGGGUUGGUUCUUCUCACAAAAGGCUCCCAAGAAGAAAAGAUAAAAUUCUUAUGGACCCUCUACUGCAACGAUUCUACAGGCUACAUCACCAAAAAUGAGUUUAUGAGUGCUCUACAAACUGAAGGUACGUUGCCAACGUGCUGCUCUGAUAAGCCCAACAUAGAGUAUACAGUACGUUCCUUAUUCGGAAUUGGUCAGGACAAAGUGGGUUUCGAUCAUUUCCACGCCUGGAUCCAGUAUAACAAGAGUGCUACAAUAUUAUCGAGAUGGCUGCUGGCAAAUCCAUGUGUAUCACUGAGUUCCGAGUUAGAAACUCCCACUUUUUAUCAGACCCUCGCCGGAGUGACGCAUCUCGAGGAACAAGAUAUUUGCGAGUUAGAGAAAUGCUUCUGGUCCUUAACCAGUUCGUCUCAAACAGGACAACUCGAUCUAGAAUCUAUAAGCGCCCUUGUAAGCCCUCCAGUACCCGUCAGCGCAUGCGUAGGAUUAUUCAUGGCCCUAGACGUAAACGGAGACGGUCACGUGGACUUCAAGGAACUAUGUUGCGGUAUCUCUGCGGCUUGCAGGGGACCCAUUGCGGAACGCGUUAAAUUCUGCUUCAAAAUAUUCGACGUAGACAAAAACGGUCGUCUUAACACGAAAGAACUCCAAACCAUGAUCGAAAUUCUCUUUUUCAUAGCAAAAGAGAACAAAUUGUUCUGCUCGUCGCAGACCAACAACAAACAUACGUUCAGCACCCUAGAGAGGAGAAGUUUCAGUUCCCAUAAUCGUGCUAGUUUUGUGAUCAAAUCUAGCAAUGAAAAAUUGAAAGAGAACGACAGUGAGACAAAGGGAAGGAAAGAUUGUCUCAUAACUGAUAUUGUUAAACUGCCUCCUGACGCCAGAACAAACGAAGACAUGAAGGAAAAAGAAAUUGGGCUAAUGCUGAUCGAUAAUUCGAUGGCAUACGCUCAACAGACCCUCGACGAAUCUCACAUAAAGUCCUUGCAUGGUCUGAAAGCACGACUGGACGAACGAGGUCAUUUAAAUCAAGAAGAGUUUCUCAUUUGGGGAGUGGACAAUAAUCCUUUCAUAUCUCCACUGCUGGAACUCCUAUUUGAAGUGGGACACGUGUGCCUAGGCCUGAAACCCCACUGUCGACAUCACGAAUAUGACAUUGUUAUGGGAUGGUUGUCGAGAGAAGAAAGCAGAGGCUACCAUGUUGGACAGUUCUGGUACUUGGUGUCAUCGGAUUGGUGGCAAUCCUGGCUUAACUAUACCACGGCAUCGAAGACCAGCUACGAUCAUUGCAAUUGCAAAGCAGACAAUAGCAGGAUAGCGAUAGAAGAGGGCAUCGUUUGCGAUGAGAGCUUCAGCAGCACGGAUUACACAUCCUCUCACUCUAAUGAGCUGACCUCCAAUAGCACGGACUCGAUGGGUGACCUCCUGAGUCGUGGAGACAGUUGUAGUAUAGCAUCAAGUUCAGGGGUAUCCAGCAGUUCAGGAAACGGCUCAAAACGUCAACAAAACAGCCCGGGCCCCAUUGAUAAUACAAACCUUGUUGCAGAACCCGUUAUUCGAGCUGGGACGCUUACAGGAGAAGGUGGUCGAUUAAAGAAAGAUACUCCUCUGGUUCAACAUAGAGACUUUGAAUUGGUACCGGACUCGUUAUGGAAGGCCUUAGCUCUCUGGUAUGGCGGUCCCUUACCCCUUCCCAGGCAAGUUAUCAAGCCUCCUGGGAGCACGGAAGUCGAACUAGAACUUUACCCCUUAAAUUUGAGGAUAUUACGGCACCAAAGUCAACAACUAAACUCUACAGCCUCUUGGAACAGUGUUGUGGGAGGGUAUGGAGCUUCUGGUUUAAACUCAGCAGGUAUUUCGGCGUCUCCAGUGAUGGCCCCACGACGUUACCUAGCUCACACAGCCGCCUUCAGCAGGCUCGCGACCGUUCGUCAAGUGAUUGAAUUCCUGUCAUCCCGUCUGGGAUUCCGGGUUGAAGACGUUCGUCUUUGGUACGUCAGGGACACUGCGAUCCCUCUGGAGGACGAAAACUCUACAUUGCAAGAGUUAGGAGUCCAAGACAAUGAUCAAAUUCUACUCGAGAAAAGAAACAAAGACCUUACUUGGCCCGAAGAGCUUGGUGCUCUCGCUUCUGGUAACGUAGGAGGUUCGUACCGUGACCGACGACCCACUGUGGCUCUGCCGCCCGGGGCAACAGGACUUCAUAAUCUCGGCAACACCUGUUUCAUGAAUUCAGCCCUACAGGCUGUUUCCAAUACUAGACCGCUAACGUUGUACUUUAAACGUGACAUGCAGCUGUGCGAAUUGAAUACUUCAAAUCCGUUGGGGACAAAGGGACAGGUGGCUAGGAAGUAUGCGGAGUUGUGUAGAGAGCUUUGGGCUGGGUCGACCAGAAGCGUUGCGCCUAUAGGACUACGAUGUUGCGUAACGAAACACGCUCCUCAUUUGAGCGGCGGUGGACAGCAUGAUUCACAAGAACUUCUGGCGUGGUUACUCGACGCCCUGCACGAGGACUUGAACAGGGUGACAAGGAAGCAGUACACAGAACUCAGGGACUCUGACGGUCGUCCCGACGCCAUCGUGGCCGACGAGGCUUGGCAACAACAUCUUGCGCGAGACCAUUCUAUCAUCACCGAUCUGUUUUAUGGGCAACUUAAAAGCAAGGUCACCUGUCAAACUUGCGGUAAUGAGUCAGUACGUUUCGACGCCUUCAACCUCCUCAGUCUGCCUCUACCCAUGGAGAGUUACACUCUUUGCGAAAUUUUAGUUAUCCGCUUAAAUGGCGAAAUGCCUGUCAAAUAUGGCCUGCGAUUGAACUCAGAAGCAAAAUACUUGGAACUGAAGCAUCAACUGGAGCAACUGUGCGACAUACCGGGCGACAGACUAAUGCUGGCCGAAGUGGCAUCUUCCCAAAUCAAAACGGUGCUCGCCGAUGACGCCCGAAUAAAUCCCGGAACUGCUACCGAGCUCUAUGCCUACGAAUUGCCUGUGCCUUGUACCGAAAUCGUCAACGGGACUUUGGAUCCUGAGCCAGAAAUAGAAACGUCGCUGAGCCAGAGUCCACUGGCACGAAGCCCUGAGGUAAGCGGCGGUUCGACGCUUUGCAUGCCCAACAUUCUUUGUUUCAAGGCAGAAGUUGACAGAAACUGUGAAAAUCGUUCUUUUACAAAAAUGGGAGGUUCAGCAAAAUGCAGAAGACCCUCGGCAGCCCCACGACCCACCCUCCCACGUUCAGAUAGCGUUGAUAAAGUUCCAGCCUAUUUGGUAGCAGUCCAUCGAAAAUGUGUUCGUCAAGAGACAUACUUUUUGUCACAACACAAGUUAAAACCCAGCCUCUUUGGAAUGCCUCUGCUACUGGGCUGUAACGCUAAUAGCACUUGCAAAGACCUGUACGAAAUGGUUUGGAAACAGGUCACGCGCCUUCUUAGUCCACUGCCUCAAAGCGACCAAACAAAUCAUGCAACUGAUUGUGAUGAUUCAUUGGGUUACGAAUUCCCUUUCACUCUGAAAGCCGUCCUCCAGGGCGGCCAAAUUUGUGCCUUAUGCCCCUGGACGCAAUUUUGUAGGGGUUGCGUUAUCUCUUACUGCGACGAAAACCUUUUCAACAUAUGCAAAACUGCGAACAGUAGUGGAAUGUGUGUUGCUAUCGAUUGGGAUCCUACUGCUUUACAUCUUCGGUACCAAAGCAGCAGGGAAAAAGUCUGGCAUGAACACGAGUCAGUGACAAUUUGUAGAAAACUCCAUACAGAACCAAUCGAUUUAGAUUAUUGUCUGAGGGCUUUCACCUCCGAGGAAAGACUGGAAGCGAAGUAUCACUGCUCUAAAUGUCAAGAGAAACAGCCUGCUACCAAAAAGCUGCAGAUAUGGAGAUUGCCUCCCAUUUUGAUAAUUCACCUCAAAAGAUUCGACUGCGUAAACAGCAAGUGGGUAAAAACGCAAAAAGUAGUUAAUUUCCCAUUUAAGGACUUCGAUCCCACACCUUAUUUGGCUGCAGUCCCACAGGAAACAAUCAUACGUCAUCGGCAGUUACUCAAAAAACGAAAAAAUAAAAUUUUGAUUGAAAAUAACAGAACACCCCCAACUAAAGGAAAUGUAAACGAGGAAGAUGUCGCUUCGGUAUUAGAGAACGAUAAAAGCGUCAAAAUCAACAAUAUAGACGAUCCAUUUUUGGACAUCAAGGUUCCAGAUAAAGGUGAAUGCGUGAUUGUAGGCGAAAAUAGCGAGUCCGCCAGCGAAACCAGUCGAUUAGUAGAUAGCGAGGAGAGUGCCGAUGAGAUAGGUAACUGCUCGAUACCGUUCGGGCUCCCUAAAGGGGGCAGCAAAAUGCGCGAACGUCUCAUUUCUACCAGUCUACAGAAAACGCCCAUUAAUGACGAAGAUCUAAAAGACUUCCAUGAACACAAACUGUUACCAGGACAAGACCCUUUCGACCUCAAGUAUCAACUCUACGCAGUUGUGAGUCAUUCAGGUCUACUGACUGGCGGCCAUUACAUUUCAUACGCCUGCAACCCCAAUGGUCACUGGUACUGUUACAAUGACAGUUCGUGUCGAGAAAUCCCUGCCGAUGAUCCUCCUGUCGUGGUCGACUAUUCGGCCACUGGGGGCGACGUGCCCGUAUCGUCUCAAGUUGCGCGCAUGCCCUACUCAAAGCCAGUCAGUCGUAGCGCGAACGCCACGCCCGUAAUACGUCGUAAGACGUACACGAACGCGAACCGAGCGUCGUUGAUGACGACUUCCCUGUGUGAAAGGGGCGGCAGCGAUUCUACAGUCAACGCCAGUCGUGAUUCUGCGUCGUCAUGCUCGAAUCUCGAAAACAGUAGCGCGAGCGAGAGCAAUUCGACGAUCACGCCUGAGAUCAGCGCAGUUGGCGUUGAAACGUCGUGUUGUGCUACAGACUCGACGACAUCUUGCGACGAUCGUUCUGACGAGGUCGAUGGCGCUCGAUGUCGACCUAUUGUUGAGGCCGAAUCGUCGGUGUCGUUGAAUGAGUUUAGGUGCGCUUAUAGUGACGCGAAAACGCCCAAGAUCGACACGAGCAGUGCAUAUAUCCUAUUCUAUGAACGUUCAGGUCUCGAUUAUCGACCUUAUUUGCCUGAGAUUGUAUCAAAUGGACCGGUCGCAGCCGUUGAUCCGGAAAUGGACGAGAGCGAGUCGGAACUGAGGAAGCAGCUUUGUGCCAUACAGUAAAUCCCCGCCGCUUUUGGUCUGAUAUAAUGAUGGUACUACUGCUUUCUUCUGAUUCUUUGGCCGCUUCGUUUCAAGGUAUAAACAAUAUGAAACAAAAAGCUCCCAUAACAAUAAAAAUGUGUUUUUGUUCGUCAAAUGCUGAUCCUAGACAAGAAAUUGGGAAGAACAACAGGACCCUUGAAAUUAACUGUUUGGGUGAGU
This 5809-nucleotide unclassified non-coding RNA is filed under the name Agrilus planipennis (emerald ash borer). Its description in RNAcentral is "ubiquitin carboxyl-terminal hydrolase 32, transcript variant X3". The record is from RNAcentral. Lineage: Eukaryota; Metazoa; Arthropoda; Insecta; Coleoptera; Buprestidae.